AGCCGGGAGCGCCGGCAGCCCGGCCUCUCGCUCUCUGCCGGGGCGGGCUGCGGCUCCGCCUUGCGCGCUUCCCGGGAGCAGCUUCCCAGGGCACACUGAGGUCUGGCUCUUCCCUUUCUGUGGUUUCCUUCUCUCCCCGCCUUUCCCACCGGUAUUAAACCCUGGAGGCUGGAUCCCGCGGGGCCAGAGUCCGGCCGCCAGGGCCCCGAGGGCUGCGCUGGAGGCGCCGGGCACAGCGGGGCGGCGAAUGUUCUUUGCUGCCAACAUGUAAAUAGCCUGAGACCACCUUUGAGAGAGGUUAAUGACUGGAGCAAUGAGAGGCCUUCAGUUCAUUGGAAACUGUAUUUGUAUACAGGUCUGGAGUAUGGGAAGUCCACUAUCAAGACUGAUCAAGACACCAGGAGAAGAUUCGGUGUCUGGCAGAGGAAGUGAAGAGGAGUGACUGGGACAGAAUCCGGCGCCCCAACCGGGACUAGAACUCGGGGUGCUGGUGCUGCAGGCAGAGGAUUAGCCAAGUGAGCCACGGAGCCAGCCUUUACAGCAUCUCUUAAAAGACUUUAAGCUCUCUGUCUCCAGGAACUGACUGUGAAGACUGUCUGUAGAAGGGAAGGACUAAGAGUGGCCAGGUGGAUUUGUGCCCAGAGACAUCACAUUUCUUACUAAAUCCAGAGAAUCCUGGAGCCAUAAGACCUGACAUGCUAAGAAGCAGCUGUCAAGACACUGCCUGAUGCAGCAGAUGGAGGUGAGUUUGUGGCUGCAAGCCAUUAGGCUUCCUGAAGUCCCUGGAUGUCUUCCUUAUGGAAUAGCUUCAAAGCCAAUGCUGAAGCCACAUGACUCAACCUGAGAAGUCACUCAAUUCUGCCUGCUGAUAGAGUCUCCAGGGGGACAGCUUCACGAGCAAGCUGAGCAAUGCUGUGUUUCAGAGUGCUGGAGAUCACUGAUGUGUUCAAGUCUUUCAGCCUAAUUCUGCCCAGAGAUGUUGGUUGCUUGAGAACUGCACCCUGUCACUGGAGAUGCUACAUUACCUUCAGUUGGGAUUAGAAUAUCAAACAAAAACAUGAGCUCCACAGUAAAGAAGCUCAGAGGGUGACCUGUCUUUAAAGUGGAACUGGCCAGUGAGAGCUAAGCAUUGGUUCAUCCCAUUAGGAACUGCAAUUUAAUUUACCAUGCUCAGAACAAAAAGACAACUCGAGGGGCUUUUGCGGAAGGCGACCUAACUGCACGGCCCCUGAGUGCUUUCAGGCCACAGUGUGUCUGCUUGGGCGAGCGCCACAAAUCCAUCAGGCUCGUCUCCUUCCCUUUCUCCUUUACAAAGAACUAAUCUAAUAACUGACCUGCCAUUAGGCCUAUGCACCAUUAAUCAAAUGUGAGGAGUUAGCCAAUUGGCCUGGAUUAAUAUAGUUAAUCUUCAAAUCAUACAUAUUCAAAAGGCUCUAAAAAGCAUCUGGGUACCUUUUGAAAAAUUGUUGGUGAGAUGAUCAAAUUGUUACCAGCAUAAUAAAUUAGACCUACGGCUGCUGACUUUGAGGGGGCAUGAUCCUCCUUCAAAGCAAAGUUUGUAAAUGACAGUAAAUCCCAUCAGAUCUAAGGGGAAAAAAAAAAUCCUACUUUCUUUGGUGGAAUUAAAUGUCAAAAAUGAAUAUUUACUGGAGAUUAGAAUCCCCUGCUGGGGUUCCCAGGCUCCGAGUGAAACCAUCUGCAAUGGUAACUGGCAAACCUGCCCAGACCUUUCCUGCAGCACCACUGCGGCAGAUGAAGGAGCCCCAGGCAGCCAUAUCCCAGUGCUCAGUUUUCCAAGAAACUCGGGGGUGGGCACUGCGUUGUUUAGGCUGCUGCAUGGAUACCUAUCAAGUUACCCAGAUCUGCUUGGCUUCGUGCUGUUUAGACCCAGGCUUACUGUUAUCAAAGUCUCUUUCAUCAACUCUGCUUUUUAAGUCCUGGAAAUAAAGGAGGGCUUACUGAUGAUCAAACUUAAGCUUGUAGGAACCCAAAGCAAAAGGCCAGACGGAGGCCUAGAAUGCCAAUCCUGUGUCUUAUGAACAUAUAGCCUUUUAUCUGGCCACUUUGAAGCCAAGGACACAGAGAAGCGUGUCCCUGAACUCUCACCCUUGUUCUCACUACUCAUUAUUUGCUACAACAAGACACUGGGUGGUGUAUGCUAUUAGCUCAGAGCUCCCGUGAGCCACCAUAUUCUCCAAGCCAGAGUCAAGUCCUUUUAACAAAUUGAAAUUUCAAAGUGGCUUCGGCUGUUGGUGAGACCCUGUCUGCAGGAGAUUUGGUACUGAACGUGAGUGGCAGGCAGCAAACACUGCAGCAGGGCUUGUCAGGAAGGAGGAGGGAGAGGCAAGGCGUAACCACGGCUUUUGUUCUGCGUGCGAUUAAGAGGAGCCUGCCUUAGGAGUUAACUCAUCUAUACAUCAAAGUAAUUCAUUUCUAUAUUAAGCAGCACUUUCCCCACGUUGCCAUUUACAGAGGAUUUCAACGCUACGAGGAACUGUUAAAUACAGCACGGUCUCAGUCAUCUUUUAUACACCAUGCCCGAGCACUUUAAGUAUGUCAUGGAUGGAUACUGAAUUACAAAGUCCCAUUUUACCUGGGCCAAUGUGACUUUCAAACGCACGCGGCUUUUUUUUUGGAGUCCCUUAAAGAUCCCUUUAGAGAUUGGAUCUGAACUCCAAGGGCUGGAAGGGGCCUCAGAGAGGUUGUCUACCAACCUGGAUAAAUGUGACGAGGGCACUGAGGCCAAAUUGGAUAAAUGACCGGCAGGGCAGCUCGCCCUGAAUGGCCUCCCGGGUCUCCCCGCAGGACUCUGCGUGCUGUGUGGAGAGUGAAAGCACGUGUCCCUUGAUCUCUCCGGCCUUAAGGCUUGGGCUGCACAUGGAGUACGAUACACGUACAAACACAUGAGAAUAAAAGGAU
Molecule: long non-coding RNA, 2919 nt
Organism: Lepus europaeus (European hare)
Lineage: Eukaryota; Metazoa; Chordata; Mammalia; Lagomorpha; Leporidae
Exons: 6
Source: RefSeq, a predicted model, not a curated record